AUUGAACGCUGGCGGCAGGCUUAACACAUGCAAGUCGAGCGGAGUGAUGGUGCUUGCACUAUCACUUAGCGGCGGACGGGUGAGUAAUGCUUAGGAAUCUGCCUAUUAGUGGGGGACAACAUCUCGAAAGGGAUGCUAAUACCGCAUACGUACUACGGGAGAAAGCAGGGGAUCACUUGUGACCUUGCGCUAAUAGAUGAGCCUAAGUCGGAUUAGCUAGUUGGUGGGGUAAAGGCCUACCAAGGCGACGAUCUGUAGCGGGUCUGAGAGGAUGAUCCGCCACACUGGGACUGAGACACCGCCCAGACAACUACGGGAGGCAGCGGUGGGGAAUAUUGGACAAGGGGGGAGACCCUGAUCCAGCCAUGCCGCGUGUGAAGAACGCCUUAUGGUUGUAAAGCACUUUAAGCGAGGAGGAGGCUCUUUUGGUUAACACCCAAGAUGAGUGGACGUUACUCGCAGAAUAGGCACCGGCUAACUCUGUGCCAGCCGCCUCCGUAA
This 501-nucleotide ribosomal RNA is filed under the name uncultured bacterium. RNAcentral describes it as "partial 16S ribosomal RNA". It matches the Rfam family "Bacterial small subunit ribosomal RNA", at positions 30 to 523 of the family's 1533-position model. The record is from RNAcentral.